This 2191-nucleotide ribosomal RNA is filed under the name human metagenome. RNAcentral's name for it is "bacterial LSU rRNA". It matches the Rfam family "Bacterial large subunit ribosomal RNA", at positions 829 to 2925 of the family's 2925-position model. The record is from RNAcentral.
CCAAUCGAACUCGGAGAUAGCUGGUUCUCCUCGAAAUAGCUUUAGGGCUAGCGUCAUGUAAUAUAGCCAACGGGGGUAGAGCUCUGUAAACGACUGGGGCGGGCAACUGUACCCACCGUUAACAAACUACGAAUACCGUUGGUGGUACCAUGGCAGUUAGAACAUCGGGGCUAAGCUCGGUGCUCAAAAGGGAAACAGCCCAGACCAUCAUCUAAGGUCCCUAAAUUAACACUAAGUGGGAAACAAGGUGAAAUUUCUUAAACAGCGAGGAUGUUGGCUUAGAAGCAGCCAUUCAUUUAAAGAGUGCGUAACAGCUCACUCGUCAAGAGAUUUUGCGUGGAAAAUGUAACGGGGCUAAAGUGUUAUACCGAAGAUAUGGAUUUCGUUAUUCCUACGGGUUUAACGGAGUGGUAGAGGAGCGUUCCUAUCGGCAGUGAAGCUCAAUCGUAAGGUUGGGUGGAGCGUUAGGAAGUGAGAAUGCUGGAAUGAGUAACCAUAAGAAAGGUGAGAAUCCUUUCGGCCGUAAGAGCGAGGUUUCCAGGGCUACUGUAAUAAUCCCUGGGUUAGUCGGGCCUAAGCCGAGGCGUAGCAGCGUAGGCGAUGGACAUCAGGUUAAUAUUCCUGAACCGGUUAUAAUUUGUAUACUGUGUACGGUAAAUUAGUCGAAGCGGAUUAUUGGUAUAUAUCCGUCCAACUUAGCGGGAACGCAAAAGGAGUGAAAGUUAAUCUACGGAUUAACGAUUUUGAUGAAAGUACUGGCUAGAAAAGCAGAUAUACGCGUGGUUAUAGCCGCCCGUACCGCAAACCAACACAGGUGCUCGAGUCGAGUAGACUCAGGCUUACGAGAGACCCUUCGCUAAGGAACUCGGCAAAACAGCGACCGUAACUUCGGGAUAAGGUCUGCCUCCGCAUCAUUCGAUGCGAGUCGUGUUUCAAGCAAUUAGGUUAAGAUUAAUGGUAUAUAUGAGUAUCUUAAACUUCUUUACCGAGAUAGACAAGUCAAAUGGCUUAGCUUGGAACGCGGCAACCUCGUGUCAAACGAUGCGGAGGCCGCAGCAAAAGAGCCCACGGAACUGUUUACCAAAAACACAGGUCUCUGCUAACACGAAAGUGGAUGUAUAGGGGCUGACUCCUGCCCAAUGCUGGAAGGUUAAGGGGAGCGCUUCACGGUGCGAACUGAAGCCCUAGUCAAUGGCGGCGGUAACUAUAACCGUCCUAAGGUAGCGAAAUUCCUUGUCAGGUAAGUUCUGACCCGCACGAAUGGAGUAAUCAUGUGGGCACUGUCUCGGCGAAGGACUCGGUGAAAGUGCAUUGGCGGUAAAGAUGCCGUCUGUCCAUGCCAGGACGAGAAGACCCCAUGGAGCUUUACUACAGCUUUACAUUGACACGGGUUACAUCAUGUGUAGCAUAGGUGGGAGGCUUUGAAGCAGAUACGCCAGUAUUUGUGGAGCCACAGGUGAAAUACCACCCUUGAUGUAGUCUUUGUCUUACCAUUGCCGUUAUCCGGUAAUGGGACCGUGUAUGGUGGGUAGUUUAACUGGGGCGGUUGCCUCCUAAAGAGUAGCGGAGGCGUUCAAAGGUUGGCUAACUUCGGAUGGAAAUCGAAGUGAUAGUGUAUGCGCAUAAGCCAGCUUGACUGUGAGGAGUACAUUCCAAUCAGAGACGAAAGUCGGAGCAAGUGAUCCGCUGUACGUACAUUUGUACAUGAAUGUGGGAUCGACAGCGCAAACGGAUAAAAGUUACCCUGGGGAUAACAGGCUUAUAGCGCCCAAUAGUUCACAUAGACGGCGCUGUUUGGCACCUCGAUGUCGGCUCAUCACAUCCUGGAGGGGGAGCACCUUCCAAGGGUUCGGCUGUUCGCCGAUUAAAGUGGUACGCGAGCUGGGUUCAGAACGUCGUGAGACAGUUCGGUUUAUAUCCGGCAUGGACGUAAGGAUUCUUGAGGAGAUUUGUCUCUAGUACGAGAGGACCGAGAUGAACGAACCUCUGGUGUAUCGAUUGUGGCCACCUGCUGCAGUGUCGAGUAGCUAUGUUCGGUUAAGAUAAGCGCUGAAAGCAUAUUAAGCGCGAAACUGACUCCAAGAUUAGGAAUCCCAUGAGGACACAGAAAGAUGAUCUGUUUGAUAGGCGCAAGGUGUAAACCUGGUAACAGGCUAGCUAAAGCGUACUAAUAGUCCAAUCGCCUUUUUAU